AACAGACUUUAUUAAUUAUUAAUCUCUCCUUUCACAUGAUGUGACCAAUCUUUUAUGAACUCAUGGUCUAUUAUAACCUAAUUUGAUAGGGGACUGGUAUGUAUUAAGAGUCUGUGAAGUUCUCAGAAGGAAGUGCCUGGGUAGGAGUAAGAAACUGCUGAGGUUUGCAGGCUGCAGAAUCCAGAAUCUGGUCCUUGUUAGACACCAGAGUUUCUAGGCCGGAACAGAACCCUGAGACAGGUGCUGAUAGGAUCUGCUGCUCGUGGAGCUCCUUCUCUGUAAGGAAGAGAAAAAGCACUUAUUACUCCUGACAGAAUGUUUCUGCUCAGGGCUGUAAAUGAUUUUGUAUUUUGAAGUAGAUAUUGCUUUGUCUGAGGGAGAAAGUCUAGGACUUUUAUUUGCACACUGCAGCACUACAGUCCUUGGGGCAUCAAUGCCAACAUUUAAAGCCUACUGUCUACAUUCCCUGCUUUCUUUCCCUCUGCUUCUUUCCAUCCCCCUGUCCCAGUUGCAUCAUUCUUUUUUUCCCAUAAGCUCCAUCCAGCCUCUUCCAUUCAGCUGGUCUUGUUUUCUGCCAGGUUUGCAGGUUGAAUCAGCACACAGAUGGAAGCAGACAGCUCCCUGCUCCUCAGUUUCAUGGAAGCAGACCCCAGUCACUGUCUUGCUUUCACAAGCUUCAGCAUGAAGUUAAGGGGCUGCAGCACACGGGUCCCCGAGAGAUCAGGAUGUCCCCUCAGUAAUUUCAUUCGGUGCUGGGAUGGAGGAACAGCACAGACAGGAGCUGCUUCUCUGCAAAUUCAGCAGGCAAGUGUUGCAAGAGUUUGCAUUGGGUAUGAACUUGAAAAAGUUAUUUUGCUACUGUGGGUCUGAUUUUUUUUUUUCUUAUUAAAGCUUAGAUUCUGUGGGAAAUCAUGACUGAGACCAGUGUCCGCACUUGCCAGGGAAAUCUUGCAACUGAAAAGCAUCUGAGAGGGUUUUUAAAAGCCCCAUUUGACUAAUCCCAGAAGGAUUAGCACUUUUUUGAUCAGUGCCAACACAAGAAAACCUCACGUACUUUAAGCUGAAGGAUACAUAUAUAUGGGUGUUGCUGAGUUAAAGUUAUGAGGAUCAUGGUGUAUAAAAUCCAGGUACACUCAUGGCCUUGGGGCAUGGAGAGUUUCAAACUAAGCCAGCUAUUGUGCUAUUUGUCUCUUGAAUGAAUGAGAUGGAAGGACAUGCUCUUUUGGCUCCUGAGUGAGAUGACAUAGUUUGACGUUCUGAGUGUAGGAAGUGUAAAACACUAAAUUAAGACUGUAAAUCCAGUGGUGGUCAGCUAAGCAAGUUGGUUAGAAACAUUAGUGGUGAUACAUAUGCAUAGGUUUUUGAGCCUCUUCUGCUUUCAGUUCCACCUGUAUAAGUUUUGACUUCCUAGACUUCCCACAUCAGGCUUAGUUCAGCACUCCUUGGGGCAGAGAAGAGGGCACAGAAGGAAGGAGAAAGGUGAGUGGAACCAAAAUACAUCCUCCAGUUUUACUAUGUGCGCUGCAUUUUUCCUUCCACGUGUUUUUCAACCAUCUAGCCACGUAGAGGGUGAUCCUUUGGACCAACAGGAACUGUGAGGCCACCAAAAAAACCAAGAAGUAGCUGUUGAGACUUCUGCAGUAGCAUCAGUGCUAUAGAGAUGUUUUUAGGGAAAAGCUUCUCUU
Molecule: long non-coding RNA, 1685 nt
Filed under: Phasianus colchicus (ring-necked pheasant)
Lineage: Eukaryota; Metazoa; Chordata; Aves; Galliformes; Phasianidae
Description: lncRNA (ENSPCLG00000003953.1)
Source: RNAcentral